CUCCCCUGUGAGCUCCGGGCCUGUUUACCCGCUAAAGUAGAGUCUUAGGGUGAACCCAGAGGGACGUAAUGUUUCCGAGAAGAAGGGCAGAAAGAAGACUGGGAGACACCGGAACUCGAAAGAAAAUCGGUAACAAAAUGUGGUACUGCCUUUUAAGGUCUAUUACCUAAACAUAAAUAUGGCUCUGGUUCUUAUGGCCUUUACUGUAUCCUUCAUGAGAAGUUGAUACUGAUCCGAAAUUGACACAGAGCCUUCUCACCUACACCAAGGGAGUCUAGCAUACAGAACGGCUGUACCUGGAAGAAGGAAGUGCGGAGCCAGCCUGAGUUGGGAGUAGAGCUCCAGAGAGUGUGAAUGACAGAGGUGGUGCCAUCCAGCGCGCUCAGCGAGGUCAGCCUGCGCCUCCUCUGCCACGAUGACAUAGACACUGUGAAGCACCUGUGUGGCGACUGGUUCCCCAUCGAGUACCCAGACUCAUGGUAUCGUGAUAUCACAUCCAACAAGAAGUUCUUUUCCCUUGCUGCGACCUACAGAGGUGCCAUUGUGGGAAUGAUAGUAGCUGAAAUUAAAAACAGGACCAAAAUACAUAAAGAGGAUGGAGAUAUUCUAGCGUCCAGCUUCUCUGUUGACACACAAGUCGCGUACAUCCUCAGUCUGGGCGUCGUAAAAGAGUUCAGGAAGCACGGCAUAGGUUCCCUCUUACUUGAAAGUUUAAAGGAUCACAUAUCAACCACCGCCCAGGACCACUGCAAAGCCAUUUACCUUCAUGUCCUCACCACCAACAACACAGCAAUAAGCUUCUACGAAAACAGAGACUUCAAGCAGCACCACUAUCUCCCCUAUUACUACUCCAUCCGAGGGGUCCUCAAAGAUGGCUUCACCUAUGUCCUCUACAUCAAUGGCGGCCACCCUCCCUGGACGAUUUUGGACUACAUCCAGCACCUGGGCUCCGCACUAGCCAGCCUGAGCCCCUGCUCCAUCCCGCACAGAGUCUACCGCCAGGCCCAUAGCCUGCUCUGCAGCUUCCUGCCAUGGUCGGGCAUCUCUUCCAAGAGUGGCAUCGAGUACAGCCGGACCAUGUGAUGUCGGCUGGGCAGCCGCUGCCAGGCCCCACCCUUUGGACCCCUGCAGAGCCCGCCUUUCUGUCCAUCUGACCCCUGCUAUCUUCUGCAAGGAGCUGCCAGCCAUCUACUGGGCUCAUCGGCCUGCCCCAGCUGCAGGCCCGGUGCUACACGGGCUCGGGAACAGAACAUCGUGGGCACGCGCAGAGCGUGCCCAUCUGUGGCAGGCUCUUCAGCUCCCCUUCCUGCUUCUGGAAACCUCUGCCUCUGCUGCCGCCCUGGCCCUGCCUACCUGCGCAUGCACCGUCCCCAGGGCUGACCCAGUGUGGCUGCAUUCACUGGGAGGGGGCUGCCCUCACCGGGCCUCUCCCACCCUGCUGCCUGUUCCUGCAGCUCCUUCCUGCAAAGCCAGAGGGGACUUUCUGCUGCAAGGGAGGAACACAAGUAUUAUGGACACACUUGACCGUAAAGGCACAGGAGCCUCGGAACAAGGGGGCGCAAUAAAGGGAAUGCCCCAUCCCCCUCCAGAACCAGCCCAAAGAAGCCUGGGGGGUGGGGAGUGGCCCCCAGUCCUCCAUGAGGGGCUGAUGAGGGGUGGGCAGCCUGGGGGAGGCUUUCCUCGCAAGCACAGAGCUCUGAGGCUCAGCCCCCCAGCACAGGCGGUCACACGCCUAGACGGUUCCUGCUCCUUGGCACCUUCCGUGCAGUUCCCAGUGCCCUGGGGUCACGCUGCCCAUCGGACCAUGGCAUGCCCCGUUCAGCUGACCUGCUGAGGACAGGCACUGCCGAGAUUCCUCGGGUCCUCCCCGCCCUCCCUCAUGCUGCCACGAGCUGCUGCUCCGAGGCCUGGCCACGUGCAGACAGGAGGAAGCUGAGCUCGUCAUUGGGCCUCAAGGCUGCCAUGUGUCUCGUAGGGCCUGGUGGGCAGGGGGCAGUCCUGUGCCUUGUGGGCCCUCAGCCUCUGUGGGUGGAGAGGCUGUCAGUGCCGUGGGUGCAUCACACACUUCUAGCAUCCGCUCCACCCUGCAUCCCCCAAAUGCUGCUUGCUGCCUGCCCUACACUCCGAUGCAGGGGUGGGGUGGGGGACGGGGAGGGUCCCGCCGAGCAUAGCUGCAAUGUCACAAAGCCAUGGCAGAGGGUCCUAGCAGUGCCACCCUGCCCCAGCCUGAGGAGGAGGGAGGGGGAGGAACAACCCUGGGCAGACGGGGCCUCAGGGACCUGUGUCCUUUCUCCUCCAGAGCUGCCCAGCCGGGGCUUUCAGGGUGCUGGGGCAGCCCCAGGUCCCCUCUUGACCUCAGCUGGGGCCAGGGGCCCUCAAAAUGAAGGCAGGCCCCAGGCAGGAGCAGCAUCCCCCUCCCUGACAGUGCUGGCUGGAGGGCCGCGCCAUGCUGACUGCCUGAACCUCUGCUGACCUGACGGUGCUGGCGGGAGGGCCGCGCCAUGCUGACUGCCUGCAUCUCUGCUGAGGCUGCCUGCCUGCCGGGCCCAGCUCAGCGCCCUCUCCACUGCAAAUCAGCGGUGAUCAUGUGAUUUCUAUUUCUGCCCCGCAGGGUAAGGGACGAGUCUUCUGGAAGCCUCUGUCAUGGACAUUUGUCCUCGGGCUCAGAGGCCUUACCCUGCCUCACGCCUGCCCCUAAUCACUGCAAUGUCCAGCCCAGUGUUGAACAGAUUGUAGCGUUCUGUCUCAUGAUGAGCAAAUAAAUAGACUUUCACUGGA
Macaca mulatta (Rhesus monkey) is the source of this 2778-nucleotide RNA transcript. It is a transcript of the gene named N-alpha-acetyltransferase 60, NatF catalytic subunit, with no coding region annotated. Lineage: Eukaryota; Metazoa; Chordata; Mammalia; Primates; Cercopithecidae. The record is from RefSeq and is marked provisional.